GUGCAGGCGGUUCAGCAAAUCGCUAGAUCUGCGUCCAGGACGGAGCCAGGGCCGGGCGAAGCCUCCUCCGUGCCGGAUCUCCGUAAAAGGGAGCUCCCGAUGAUCCUUUUUGGAUGCCAAGGGAAAGCUGAAGGACCACUGGCAAAAAACCAUCUGCGAUAACUUGAAUUCUAUAUUGAGGCUCUUCUCACGUUUGCAGGCAUGAUUUUCAAUGCUUUGAUAUUUCAAGGAGAUUAUCCUUUUGUGGAUGCAAAAGGAAAGCUGAAGGACCACUGGCAAAAUAAACCCUCUGUGGUAACAUGAAUUCAGACUGGGGUUCUUCUCAUGUUAUGGUGGCUGUUUGUUCCCGCCCUUUUUUCCUGAAGACCCUGCCCGCUUAGCGUCAAGAGCAGCACGUUUUUCUUUUUUGUUGGCCUGGCGUGCUGUUUUCUUUGCACAUGCCGCUCUCUUGGCUGCGGCAGCCUCCUGGUUACGCAGGUUCUGCUCUUGCCUCUGGGCUUCCUCCGCAGCAUGCAUCCGGUUAUGGGCCUGAUUGAAGGCGACGGAGUAGUCUCCGUGAAGCCGGUGCCGUCUGCAGUCUAUGUGGACCUUGUCUUCCGCCAUAACUGUACACAGAGGGACUUGUUAAAGCGUGGUACAAAGAAAUGCAUUCUUUUCUUUACCAUUUGUUUAUGGAAUAGCUCUAUAAGUAACUGCUGUGCUAUUGUGUAUAAUCAGUCUAGAAUAUAGAGAAGCAUGUUAAAUCGGGGUACAGAGAACUGCUGUAUCUUUCUUUCCAUUCAAUAGCUCUUCUAGAAUUAACUGCCCUGCUACUGUGUAUAAUCAUUCUGAAUUGAGAUCCAUUAUAGUCAUGCCAACAGUGAAAACUACCACUGGUUUUGUUA
This is a long non-coding RNA of Lolium perenne, 884 nucleotides long. RefSeq lists it as uncharacterized. NCBI's taxonomy places the organism in Eukaryota, Viridiplantae, Streptophyta, Magnoliopsida, Poales, Poaceae. The record is from RefSeq and is a predicted model, not a curated record.